RNAcentral lists this ribosomal RNA (775 nucleotides) under uncultured Neocallimastigales. RNAcentral describes it as "partial large subunit ribosomal RNA". It matches the Rfam family "Eukaryotic large subunit ribosomal RNA", at positions 22 to 647 of the family's 3401-position model. The record is from RNAcentral. Lineage: Eukaryota; Fungi; Neocallimastigomycota; Neocallimastigomycetes; Neocallimastigales.
GUACACGCUGUGACUAGCAUAUCAAUAAGCGGAGGAAAAGAAACUAACAAGGAUUCCCCUAGUAACGGCGAGUGAAGCGGGAAGAGCUCAAAUUUGAAAUCUUAAAGGGUUUCCCUUUACGAACUGUAGUUUAAAGAAGUGUUUUCUGUUGAGGUUUUGGUAAAAGUUCUUUGGAAUAGGACAUCAUAGAGGGUGAGAAUCCCGUAUUUGACCUUUACUUUCAACUUUGUGAUACACUUUCAAAGAGUCGGAUUGUUUGGGAAUGCAGUCCAAAAUGGGUGGUAAAUUUCAUCUAAAGCUAAAUAUUGGCGAGAGACCGAUAGCGAACAAGUACCGUGAGGGAAAGAUGAAAAGAACUUUGAAAAGAGAGUUAAACAGUACGUGAAAUUGUCAAAAGGGAAGCGUUUGACACCAGUGUUGUUUUUCUGAAAAUCAAUUAAAGAACUGUUUAUGCUAAGCUGUUUAGACUUUAUCAGCUAAUCUGUUUAGUUUUGAGCUUUUCUUUAAUGCACUUUUCAGUUAACAAGUCAACAUCAAUUUCUUUUGCUGUAAAAAAGCUUGAGGAAGGUGGCUUGAGAUUCGUCUUAAGUGUUUAUAGCCUCUUGCCUAUGCAGUCGGAGAGAUUGAGGUCUGCAGCGUAGAUCCUUCGGGGCUAAAUGCAUUUGUGCUAAGUUAUAGCAUUUUAUAGACAACUUGUUGACUAUGAUUUGUCUUGUAGCUUACUCGCUUAUGUUAUUUUACCUACGCUUAGGAUGUUGACGAGACUGUCGAUCUC